Long non-coding RNA from Dermatophagoides farinae (American house dust mite), 488 nucleotides. RefSeq lists it as uncharacterized. The record is from RefSeq and is a predicted model, not a curated record. Lineage: Eukaryota; Metazoa; Arthropoda; Arachnida; Sarcoptiformes; Pyroglyphidae.
GCCAAAAAAAUUUCGCGCUCAAAAAAUGUUUAGGUUUUUUCUGUGAUUUAAACAAGAUGGUAAAAAAAUUGUAUUCAAACAUUCGAUUAUUUUUUACCUUGUCUUUCCAUAUCAUCAUCAGUGUGCAACAAGUACAACAAUAAUGUAUAGGUCUUUUUCAACUGUGGCGGAAUAUUAUUCCAGCGAAGAUACUUCAAGUUCCGAAAUCACUAUAUUCAAUGAUUAUAACAAACAUCAACAAAACUGGCACCAAAUGAAAAUUUUUACUAAUAAUGAAGAACUUAAAGAAUUUAUUGGUGAAAAUUGGAGUAAGUGGUAUCGGAGUGAUACUGAGAAAGAUAUCAAACAAUAUUACCGAUGCAACAAGGUGAAAAAGAAUGACAUGCAAUGCCGAGCACGCAUUUUUAUCUCAUAUGACAAAUUUUCUGAAUCAAUUUAUUUAUACCAAAACAACGAAGAUCAUACAUGUAGCGAAAUCAUCUCAACAA